UUUUUCCUCUUUUUCGCAGACAGCUUUCCCCGGAGCUGGCUCCCCCCACUGGCGCCCGGCUGUGGUCGCCCCAUCCUCCCCAUCCUGGCCUGGGCUCGCUGACUGGUGUCCCCCCCACCACCCCCGGCAGAGAAAGGCGGCGGCCCUUUGCGUGGGGGAACCAGUUUCUCGGAGCGAGGAGAGGAGGAGGAGGAGGGGAGGAGGAGGAGGACACCGCGGCGAUAAACACUUGCGAGGUUUCUCGCUACCCCUAAUGACGUCCUAGGCGUAAGUUGUUCUGCAGCCACUUCACACCAAAGUAUUUCCUCACAGGGCAGGUUCUCCAGCCCUUUGAUCACCUUCGUGGCCUUCCUUUGGAUUCCCUCCAGCCUGUACACUUCUUUCUUGAAUUAUGGGGACCAGAACUGGACACAGUAUUCCAGUUCUUGUUUCACAACAGCUGGGGUUGGGUCAUUACAGUGCACAACAGGUGCUUAUAUACGCUGUCUCGAAGACAAAUGGAUCCAAAAACAUGCCUGAGUGCUUUCCUGAGCCACAGCCAAAAUCUAUAGGUAAUUUAACCCAGCGAAGCAACAGGAACUGCUGUGACGCGGCUCAUCACGCAAGAAUAACACCAUGCUAGAAGGGACAAAAGACAUCCAGAUUCAAGGGUAGUUUGGUCUGGGUUAGACUUUUAUUCUGUCUCACUACCUUACUGCAGAGAAGAAUCCAUAACCGCGGAGUCUGCUUGAUGUCAAACAUGUUUCUAGAACCUUGGAGUGGAUGAGUAGAGCAGGUAAAUUGAUACUCUCUGGACUUGUCUUAACAUCUCGGAUGUAAACUGCUAUCUUCUGGCUUCUGUGAAGUUCUGAUUUAUACCUUUUUCUUCUAUGUAAGUUUGAAAUACCUAAAUGUAGGCAUAGCCCACAAAAGACAGCUCUACGAUGAAGGCAGUGGGAAGCCACAGGUCCACUUGAAAUACUGCCCAUGUAAAUGGAAAAAGAAAAGCUUGAUCUUUUGUUUGAUUUAGAGAAUAAAUGCAUCAUUUAUGGGGCGGGGGGAAGAUUAGAAAGAUAAGGUGGAUUCCCAAAGUGAUUGUCUCUGAUAACUUGCCUUUGGAAAGGAAUUGUGGGGAGAAGUUAAGAUUUGAAGAUGAAAGAUAUGUUUAAAUAUUUUUGGCAAUAUAACUGUAAAAAAAAGUGUACCUGAUUUUGUACCUUGUCAGACUAAACCACGUCUCCUGGGUCUCUCUCUCUUCUGCAGAAUGCAAGAACUCAUUUUAUUUUCACAUAUUAAAUUUGUUGUUAUGUCAAUAGUGCUACAUUUUCUACUAGAAAAAAAAAUGUGAUCAGCAUCAGUAACAAGGAGUACCAUCUGCUACAAAAAUGGAAACGUAUGCCAUAAGACCAUAGGGCAGCCUUUUAAUAAGUGAAAUCUAUUUAUGUAUCAAUAGAUGUUAAUGUAUGCUAGCAGGGUGAGGGAGAGACCCAGACUAUGAAGACUAAAUCCUCAAGAUUUGCACUACUCACUGGUCAGAAUUAGGACACUCAGUUAUUAGACUAUACAUACAAAUUUUCACUUCACUUUAAAGAUGAAAUUAUGUUUCUACCUAAAUCAAUAGCAAAUAAAUUUUCCCUGCCAAAGCUGUAGUGGCCACUGCCAAAUAAAUACUCAGCUGUUACUGGGGGAGUCUUCUUCCACUAACUGCAUCAUCUGUAUUCCCACGCAGCAGUUAGAAGCAGGGUUAUAACCUGUGUGUGUAGAACUGGAAGGCUGCAGAGGUUUGGAAAGGCUGUCACUGGAAACGUUUACUGCCAAUGCCUCCUGCCUCUGCCAUCCUGAAGACUCCAACGUACACAGAACUAGGAGACAAAGUAGUGUUUCUUUCAUUGGUAACAUGUCCCACCGAGAUGUGAAAUUUGGCAGUGGGAAACCUGGAACAGGGAAGAACAAAACAUUUAUUUUCUUCUUUAAGCUGACAAAAGUUGUGUUUGGGUAAAACAUUGUUCAUGUGUUUGAGUUAUUCAAAUGCUGGUGCUCAGUCUUAUUCUUUCAAUAACAGAAUUUGAACGAUUCAGUACAGUUGCAAGUAUAGAUCUAUUUCUAUGCCCUUUUAAAAUUCAUUCAUGAGUACUCAGUGCCAUGACUGUUGACUGAGAGAGUUGGGGCUAUUCAGCCUGGAGAAGAGAAGGCUCCAGAGAGAUCAUCUUGUGGCCUGUGAGUAUAUAAAGGGGACUUCUAAGAAAGGCUGAGAAAGACAUUUUAACAGGGCCUCUAGUGACAAGACAAGGGCCAAUGGUUUUAAGUGAAAGAGGGCCAAUUUAGACUGGACAUAAGGAAGACUUUUUUUUACAAUGAGGGUGGUGAGACACGGAAACAGGUUGCCCAGAGAAGUUGUGAAUGGUCCCUCCCUGGAAAAGUUCAAGGUCAGGUUGGACAGGACUUUGAACCACCAGUGGUGUACCGUAUCUUGCUCAAGUUUUUCUAUAAAUCACAGGUCGCAACAAGUAAUGCUGUGUCAGAAACUUCUCUUUUGGCCUUUUUGCAGUCCUUAUAUUGAGAGACUUUUAAACUUACUUGAUAUGAAGCAUCUCUUUUCUGGUGGGUUUCUCCAUGGAAGAGAAGGACUGUGGUAAAAUGUUUAUUUACACUUUGUAAAUUCUUACACAAAGAAAUUUCAGGACAAUGCAGUCUCUUCAGGAUGCAUUUUUUAGGCUGUACAAAAUAAAUGUGUGGAUUCAGAGAAGAGAAAAUACUGCUGUUAUAUUUUUAAAUUUACUGUGUUACCAAAGUUAUGGGGAAAGAAAAACUUGACUCUCUUGAUCUGAAUGGAUAUGCUGUAGUUUUGUUAGGUAGAAUGUUCUGCGAGACAUCACCUUCUGGAUUGAUUCUUCUCUCUGGAGACUGGUAUUAUGAGCUAACAAAAAACAGCACUCAACAAAUGUUUGUAUACAAGACAGCUUAAAAUUUUAGUGGAAGAUUUAAGACCAGGAGAUAGCUAGUUUUAAUUCAGAAGUCUUUAAAAUUCUCAAUUGCUCUCAGUAUUUCAGAUAGAUAGCAUAUGUAGCAUCCAGAUAAAAAUGCAGCUAAUGCUUUCUUUGUUCUUUCAAAUAUAUCAUUAUAUCAUAGUUUCCACAGAGCAAUUGAACAUGGCAGAGUACUGAAGUAAAGGAUAAAAUAGAUUUUGAAAAGUAGCAUUUAUUUCAAUUCUACCCAUACGUCUGUGUAGACUAACCCAAAUGUAUCCUGACUCAGAUGCAGUAAUUACUGGAAACCUUGGGAUUUUUAACUGAGCCUGUGGUACCACAGCCACAAACUGAUCUUUUCUUGCACCCAUGCAUUGAGAAUACAGAGCUGUUUUUUGACGAUUUACAGUAAAGAUAAAAAAAGUGCUGACAUUUCCAUACACUUGCAUAUAGUUUGUGCAAAAAAGUCUAAAGCAAUUUCCAUCCUCAGAUUAUGUUACAAACCUUGCACUUAAGAAAAGAAAAGAGAUAGUUUUCUAAAAACACAAAUACUCAGGGUGGUCAUUUACACAGAAAAAAAAAUUGCUAAAGUGGCAGUAUUUAGCCUUGUCAGUGACACUGGUAACCUAAUUAACCACAAACUGUAUUAAAAUGCAGCAAUGUGAAACUAUGUUUAUUUCCUUAUAUACUGACAGGUCUGGAAAUGCUGGCAACAAAUACCAGCUUUAAGGAUAGAUUCCAAUAUCUUUUAUUUGCUCUGCAGGCUGUUAAACUCUAUUAGUUUAACAAUUUUUAUCCAAAACUGUUUUUAUCCAACUCUAUUAGUUUAACAGUUUUUAGCCAAAAAAGGAUAUAAAAGGACAGAUGUACCAAUUUUGUGCUUCAUUUAGACAUCAUAAAAUAACAAAAUACUUUUUUUUUACUCCCCUGAGAAGAUGUAAACAGUCACUGACAUUAGUAAACAAAUAUAAGAGAGCCAUAAGGAUGCUUCAUAGUUUUCUGAUCUAGAGUUGGUAUGGAAGGAAUUUAAUUUUUAUUUUUUUUUUAAAAAGGGAAAUAUUUAAUAUUGAAAUUUGUUUGCCAAUUUUUGUAGGCUCUGAUUUGUUUCAGUUAUUGAGUUACACUGAGUAAAGCAGCUCAGCACUGAGUGGACUGAGGGAUGGGCAAAAGCCUGCCAAUUUAUUUCUCAGGUUUCUCUGUAUAACGGGAUAUAAGUCAGUAUAGGUACAGUAUCAAAGUCUGUUUCUCUUGGAGGAUGUGAGACAAAAAUCAAGGAGACUAAUGGAACAUAAAAUGCUCGCUUAUAUUCCUGAGAGAGUUAUCUGUCUUGCUUUCCCUCUCUCAGGCACAUGCAGACAUACAUUACACGAUCUGACCUGUGCUUUCUGGGGCAUAACAUUUACUAGCAUGUACAAGUGAGUAAGCUGGAAGAAAAGUGCAUGCUCUUAGUCAUGUAUUUACAAGCUGUCAGUUCUUCUUUGCACACCUAAUUAAGCAGGACAGAAAGCAAGAACAAGUAAGUCUUAAAUCCUCAGUGCGUUCUCUGGACUGAUCUUAGGGCAGUGUAGCUUUGUACUUGGACAAAGUACAUGCCAGGUGACUGAUUAAAAUAACAACAACAAUAAUAAUAAUAGCUGAAUUUUGGAUUGAAAGUGCUUUAUCUAAUGUGAAAGUAAAUAUUUGGCUUGAUUUUUUUUUGAAAGGAGAAAAUUAAUGAUGUUUCAUUAACACCUUUUUUCCAGCCUUUUAUGGGCCUCUUCCCAGAUAAGACCCUUGAACCAUUUUACAUUAACAUUUUCAUGGACUGUGGACUAUCUUCCUAAAUUCCUAUCUACAAAAGACAUUUUCUGAAACAUUUGUAGUCACAGUUCAGCCUGAGAUGUAAAGAGAUGUUGGAUUAAUACAUUUUGACACAAUCUUUACUGUUGAAAACCAUAAGAAAUGAUGAAUUUGGACUGUCAGGGGGAGGAGCAAAAGAAGAAAUUUGAAUCUGUGUGCCUUUUCUGGUCUGCUUGAAACAGCACAGCAACUUAAGACAUUCCUUAAAGAAGUCCAGAAUUGCCUGUCCUUCCUUUGUAGCUCUCUUCAUAGUAUCAGAAUUGAGCAAAGGGACCACCUUAGAGCUAGAAGUAACCAAUAACCAUAAUCACUGUUUCUCACAGUCACAGUCACCUGACAAAACUCUUCAAAAUUACAUGUGACCAAAAAAAAAGUGAAGUCCACACAGUUUUUCUCAAUUACAUCUGUAGUACUUCUGCUUUAAAAUAGUCAAAAGUGCCAUCUGCUGCUACUAACAAUAAUCCCACUACCUCUCUCUCACCACUGGGUAAAAGGGAUUUAUGACGAAGCACUAGCACCUGUGUUUCCAGAAAAACACUGAACUCAGUCUUCAGCUCAUACCAAAGUUAAGUGUGGUCCACUGGUUGGAUUCACCUUUGUUAGGAAUUUGGCCACACACAUGGAUUUUUCUUUGCUUCUAUUAACAUCCAAUUUGAUGACAAGGGUUGUACAUAUUAACAGAAAUAAUCGGAAGACUAACCAUGUUUCUACCGGGCUGUCUUUCAGACAUUAUUUUUACAUAGCAGUAGAUGAGACAGACUGAGAAAUGGAAAUAACCCAUCAAAGGUUCUUUGUAGUCUUCUGUGAAGGCAUCCGAGAACAAGAGGGAAUACUAAUUCCAAUAAAAAAAGAAAAAUGCACAGAAAACCAGCAAAUUUUGAAAGAUUAGAUUCUACUACAGUACUUUCAGCACCUCUAAAAGAAGAGAAAUAUAACUUUUUUCUCGUAAGCAACAGUUACUGAUUUUUGUGAAGCCUGUACUAAGCCAUUAUCCUAAAUUUACAAUGAUAAACUUGAAAUGUAUCUCUAGGAAGGAAAAUCACUUAUCAGACAAGUCUAGGGAAAAAUAUAGCCAGCCAGCUAGAAAUAAUUUCAGUGAGAUGCCUACAGAAUUGAUCUUGCCAUGAAAGAAUAACAGUAUUGAGUACCUGAGCACAGCUGCUCAGCUUCUCUUUUGCUGCUGGUUCUGGUUUAUUCAUAGUAUUCAGGAAACUGCCUGCCAUCUCGUCUGUGAUCUUGCUGGAAUCUCUUCUAUGAGCACACCCACAAAACCCGUACUGUCAGAUGAAGUGUUUUCCUACAUACUCUGGAGUAAUAACCCAGUUAGGGGAGUUCCUUUCUUUUGGUGCCUUCUCUCUUUCAGAAGACAGACUACUUAGUAUUGUUGGCUGAAGUCAUAUGUAACAGUUGUAUUGCCUUUUACUCAGUGAAAAUUUUCCUAAUAAAAAACUAAGCUUUUCAGUACCUGUAGGAGACGGCCUGUAAAUUCCCUGACCUCCAAACCUUCAAUGGAAUGCCUCAAACCCUCACAAGGAAAUAAUAAUGCAGGCCUGACAUUCAAAGAAUUUGUAAGACUCACAGGCACCUAAAAAGCAGUGGGAAGACUGUUUUGUGAAGACAAGAUAGUUCUACCACUUCUGUUAUGAGUCUGUCAGUUCUCUGUUCAAGGCCAUUGUGUCUGAUAAGUGACUUUUCCUCCAUUAUCUGUGAAAUGCAUAUGAAAGUGCACACCCUGCAUAUGCUCAUGAAAAAUAUAGAGAUCAUGCUAAACUUAUAUGACUGUGGCACCCGUGUCUCCGCCCAAAUCAUGUUAGCACAUCACCUGAGAGAACGGAGAAACCUGAGACGAAGGAUGAAGCUGUUCUUGGCAAGGGGAGUGGAUUGUACUAAUUCAGCAAACAUAGAAGGGGAAAAUAAGUGCUCCUUGGCAGAAAAAAAGAACAAAAGAAGACGAUCGUGCCUGGGAAGAUUUUUCCCAAGAAAGAAGACCAUACCUGCGAAGAUUUUUCUCUGAAAAAGGUGCUGGAACCAGGACCUAUGAUAUUUGUAUCUGUGUCUUUUUCUGUAUGUUUUCCUUUCUCUCUCUCUCUUAGUUUCUCUUUCCUCUUGGAGUUAAGUAAUGGUUAGAGUUGUUAAGUGACGACCUUAAGUACCGCUUGCGAUAAGCUGAUGUAUACACAAUGCAGACCACUUGCCAUAAUUUGCCACAUGCCUAACCAAUUAUCAUGGAUUUGUUAAGACAUUUCAGGAAACUAAUAAAUGUUCUAUACAGUCCUUGA
Molecule: long non-coding RNA, 7063 nt
Organism: Calidris pugnax (ruff)
Lineage: Eukaryota; Metazoa; Chordata; Aves; Charadriiformes; Scolopacidae
Exons: 7
Source: RefSeq, a predicted model, not a curated record